RNAcentral lists this long non-coding RNA (692 nucleotides) under Anser brachyrhynchus (Pink-footed goose). RNAcentral describes it as "lncRNA (ENSABRG00000004493.1)". Lineage: Eukaryota; Metazoa; Chordata; Aves; Anseriformes; Anatidae. The record is from RNAcentral.
UAGGAACCAAGCCGCAUCCUCUUUUAAUGCAUCAAUUCCUGUCUGUGCUGGGAGACCAGGGCCACAUUGCUGAAAAUACGUUAUAAAUAAUCACAAAAAGUUCCAUUCACAUGAAGCAAAGUGGUUGGAGAAACCUGAGGAAAUUCACAGUGAAACAAGCUGAAAGCAGUCAGUAAGAGCUUUAAUAGGGGAAGGGGAAGAGAAGAGCUCCUUGACCUGUGCAGGUGUGUGUGGGCUCAGCCUCUCUGCAUGUAUUUCAUGGCUUUCCAGGGCAGGGUGACCUGUGAUAGUAGGAGAGGAGUAGGGCUGCUGGGCAUCUUUCCCUAGAGCUUUUUAGGGAGGCCGAGGUGCUACAGCUCUCACGGUAGUGAAGUUGUAUGGUACAAGGUCAGCUUGUGUGGGAAGCAGCCCCCUGUAGCAUCAUUAUUUGCAGCUCUGUGCGGUAUGGACCUGGCUCGGAAGGAGCAGGAACCUGCCCUGGGUGUAGCCCUCAGAGCUGCGUGGUGUGCCCUGCCUGGCUGCAGCUCAAGCCACCUAGUCCCGUAAAAGCAUUUCAAGCGUCUUGUUAAACACGGCCACCUCUGUUCUUUGAUUGCUUAAAGGUGUUUUCCUGUAUCCCUUCCAGCCCAGCUCCUUGGCACUGUUUACAACUCAGAAAUAAAGUUCAAGCAGUGGAAAGUUUCCCUGUUUGC